Molecule: long non-coding RNA, 387 nt
Filed under: Phasianus colchicus (ring-necked pheasant)
Lineage: Eukaryota; Metazoa; Chordata; Aves; Galliformes; Phasianidae
Description: lncRNA (ENSPCLG00000014636.1)
Source: RNAcentral
AUGCCUGCAUUCUUUCCUUCUAGAGCUGUCUAUUUCAAGGGAGUAGGACUACAGGGAGGAGUGCCCAGUUUUGUGGGAGAUUUCUGCUUCUGUUUUCAGGAAACAGAGAGUGUCAGGUGUAUCCCAGAUGAGCCCGUUCUCUGCAGAAGUCCCAUUCUGGAGCAAGGGAGGAAAAAUGCAGAUGUGAGAUGACAGUCACAGACACUGAGAUCCUUUCACAAUAAGUGUGAAAUCUGGUUCUCCCAGGGGUGAAGAAUGCCUUGCUGCAGCAAAAUUAGUAUGAUGCUGAAUAUAAAGCUGAAAACAACACUGUCUACCUGUCUAUCUCAUUAACAACUUUCCACAGUUUUGGUGAAGCGAGAAAUGAUCUUUCAAAUUAAACAUCUC